RNAcentral lists this ribosomal RNA (305 nucleotides) under uncultured bacterium. RNAcentral describes it as "bacterial SSU rRNA". It matches the Rfam family "Bacterial small subunit ribosomal RNA", at positions 338 to 636 of the family's 1533-position model. The record is from RNAcentral.
CCUACGGGAGGCAGCAGUAGGGAAUUUUCGUCAAUGGGCGCAAGCCUGAACGAGCAAUGCCGCGUGAACGAGGAAGGUCUUCGGAUCGUAAAGUUCUGUUGAAGGGGAAAAAGAGCGGAGAGAGGAAAUGGUCUCCGAUUGAUAUUACCCUUCGAGGAAGUCACGGCUAACUACGUGCCAGCAGCCGCGGUAAUACGUAGGAGGCGAGCGUUAUCCGGAAUGAUUGGGCGUAAAGGGUGCGUAGGCGGCCUGCUAAGCCUGGAGUGAAAGGUACCGGCCCACACGGUACAUGCUCUGGAAACUGG